UCAUCUCUUUACUCUUACAUCUUUCUUCUCUUUCACUCCGUUAUCAUACCAUUUAUCCACUUGUUCCUAUCAUUUAUCUAAGGAUUACUUCAGUUGAAAUAAAAUCCAAAUGAUGAUCAGUUUUUCUCCAAGCGAUGGGCGAGCAGUGUCAGCUUUAAAGUAUUUCAGUGGCCUUUCAAAGUUGCCUGCAGAAUUUUCUUGACUUUCUACACUUUGUUUUUGGACUUCAGGGGUAAUAUUGACAAAUUUAAAUAUUAACAGGUAAUUCUAGUUUUCGCUCUGCACUCGAUAUGUGAUGAUUAGGGGUGAGCAUCGGUUG
This is a long non-coding RNA of Momordica charantia (bitter melon), 319 nucleotides long. RefSeq lists it as uncharacterized. NCBI's taxonomy places the organism in Eukaryota, Viridiplantae, Streptophyta, Magnoliopsida, Cucurbitales, Cucurbitaceae. The record is from RefSeq and is a predicted model, not a curated record.